GACGAACGCUGGCGGCGUGCUUAACACAUGCAAGUCGAACGGUAAGGCCCUUCGGGGUACACGAGUGGCGAACGGGUGAGUAACACGUGGGUGAUCUGCCCUGCACUUCGGGAUAAGCCUGGGAAACUGGGUCUAAUACCGGAUAGGACCACUGCCUGCAUGGGUGGUGGUGGAAAGCUUUUGCGGUGUGGGAUGGGCCCGCGGCCUAUCAGCUUGUUGGUGGGGUGAUGGCCUACCAAGGCGACGACGGGUAGCCGGCCUGAGAGGGUGACCGGCAACACUGGGUCGGGGAGACGGCCCGGACUCCGACGGGAGGCAGCAGUGGGGAAUAGAGCACAAUGGGCGCAAGCCUGCUGCAGCGACGCCGCGUGAGGGAUGAGGGCCUUCGGGUUGUAAACCUCUUUCAGCACCGACGAAGCGCAAGUGACGGUAGGUGCAGAAGAAGGACCGGCCAACUACGUGCCAGCAGCCGCCGUAA
Molecule: ribosomal RNA, 478 nt
Filed under: uncultured bacterium
Lineage: Bacteria
Description: partial 16S ribosomal RNA
Rfam family: Bacterial small subunit ribosomal RNA
Source: RNAcentral